Molecule: long non-coding RNA, 674 nt
Organism: Pogoniulus pusillus (Red-fronted tinkerbird)
Lineage: Eukaryota; Metazoa; Chordata; Aves; Piciformes; Lybiidae
Exons: 3
Source: RefSeq, a predicted model, not a curated record
CACUUUGCCCUCCCUGCCCACUCCCCUUUUUAAUCGACCCCAGGAAAGGCAGCAGCCCUAAGCUUGCCCAACUGGGCAGAGGGAUCCUCCUCCUGGCAUCACUGCUGAUUUUUACCAUCCUGGGCCUGGGGGAUGUGCUCUGCCCCUCCUGCUGCUGUGGCUCCUGCUCUGCUGAAGACCUGGGAAGGCUGUGAGGAUGAGAGACAACCCUGCCCCAGACUGCAGUGGCUGCUGACCACCCGAUGACUGCCACAGAAGCCCUCUCUGGUGCCUGUGGGCCCUCUCAGGCAGCGUGCUCGAUCUGGACUGACCAAGCAGCACAGCCACAUUGCAUCAUUACCACCUGAAGUCUACCACCUAGCUGUCACUAGAUCUAUUUUCCUGCUUAUGCUUUUGGAGAGCAAAUAUUGAGGCUUUUGACCAGUGAGUAGCUGAACUCUCUUUACUCAACUUUGUAAAUGUGUGUGUGCUCGACCUUUCAGCAGCAGUUUGUGCUGCAAGGCUCUCCACUUAGAAACCUUUCUAAAGGUUUUUCCCAAGUCAUUUAAUUUGACUCCAUACAUUCUGCAGAACAGUUUUACCAACCCCAUCAUAGAAUCUGUCUGUAUUAGUUGUAAGUAAGUUUGGGGAAGUUUUCUUUGUGUAAUUAAUAAACUAUUUAAUGAUUAUUUUUA